RNAcentral lists this ribosomal RNA (503 nucleotides) under uncultured bacterium. RNAcentral's name for it is "partial 16S ribosomal RNA". It matches the Rfam family "Bacterial small subunit ribosomal RNA", at positions 30 to 523 of the family's 1533-position model. The record is from RNAcentral.
AUUGAACGCUGGCGGCAGGCUUAACACAUGCAAGUCGAGCGGGGUGAUGGUGCUUGCACUAUCACUUAGCGGCGGACGGGUGAGUAAUGCUUAGGAAUCUGCCUAUUAGUGGGGGACAACAUCUCGAAAGGGAUGCUAAUACCGCAUACGUCCUACGGGAGAAAGCAGGGGAUCACUUGUGACCUUGCGCUAAUAGAUGAGCCUAAGUCGGAUUAGCUAGUUGGUGGGGUAAAGGCCUACCAAGGCGACGAUCUGUAGCGGGUCUGAGAGGAUGAUCAGCAACACUGGGACUGAGACGCGGCCCAGACUCCUACGGGAGGCAGCAGUGGGGAAUAUUGGACAAUGGGGGGAACCCUGAUCCAGCCAUGCCGCGUGUGCGAAGAAGGCCUUAUGGUUGUAAAGCACUUUAAGCGAGGAGGAGGCUCUUUUGGUUAAUACCCAAGAUGAGUGGACGUUACUCGCAGAAUAAGCACCGGCUAACUCUGUGCCAGCCGCCGCAGUAA